AGUCAAUAGAUACCCAGGUAGUCCACGCCGUAAACGAUGUCGACUUGGAGGUUGUGCCCUUGAGGCGUGGCUUCCGGAGCUAAACGCGUUAAGUCGACCGCCUGGGGAGUACGGCCGCAAGGUUAAAACUCAAAUGAAUUGACGGGGGCCCGCACAAGCGGUGGAGCAUGUGGUUUAAUUCGAUGCAACGCGAAGAACCUUACCUACUCUUGACAUCCAGAGAACUUUCCAGAGAUGGAUUGGUGCCUUCGGGAACUCUGAGACAGGUGCUGCAUGGCUGUCGUCAGCUCGUGUUGUGAAAUGUUGGGUUAAGUCCCGCAACGAGCGCAACCCUUAUCUUUUGUUGCCAGCGGUUAGGCCGGGAACUCAAGGAGACUGCCAGUGAUAAACCUGGAGGAAGUGGGGAUGACGUCAAGUCAUCAUGGCCCUUACGAGUAGGGCUACACACGUGCUACAAUGGCGCAUCAAACGNGAAGCGACCUCGCGAGAGCAAGCGGACCUCAUAAAGUGCGUCGUAU
This 518-nucleotide ribosomal RNA is filed under the name uncultured bacterium. Its description in RNAcentral is "bacterial SSU rRNA". It matches the Rfam family "Bacterial small subunit ribosomal RNA", at positions 775 to 1291 of the family's 1533-position model. The record is from RNAcentral.